This 69-nucleotide transfer RNA is filed under the name Mustelus manazo (starspotted smooth-hound). RNAcentral describes it as "tRNA-Cys". It matches the Rfam family "tRNA". From Rfam's summary of the family: Transfer RNA (tRNA) molecules are approximately 80 nucleotides in length. Lineage: Eukaryota; Metazoa; Chordata; Chondrichthyes; Carcharhiniformes; Triakidae. The record is from RNAcentral.
AGCCCCGAAGUAGUUGUAAUACAUUGGAUUGCAAAUCCAAAGACGGAGGUUCUUUCCCUCCCGGGGCUU